GGCCGGAUAAGGCGUUCAUGCCGCAUCCGACAUUCGGUGCUCAAUGCCUGAUGCGACGCUGGCGCGUCUUAUCCGGCC
RNAcentral lists this non-coding RNA (78 nucleotides) under Escherichia marmotae. RNAcentral describes it as "Nucleoid-associated noncoding RNA 4 (CssrE)". It matches the Rfam family "Nucleoid-associated noncoding RNA 4 (CssrE)". Rfam says of the family: In E. coli small RNA transcribed from repeated extragenic palindromic element (REP325) called nucleoid-associated ncRNA 4 (nRNA4) collaborates HU protein in condensing the DNA. Lineage: Bacteria; Pseudomonadati; Pseudomonadota; Gammaproteobacteria; Enterobacterales; Enterobacteriaceae. The record is from RNAcentral.